This 260-nucleotide unclassified non-coding RNA is filed under the name Hevea brasiliensis (rubber tree). The record is from RNAcentral. Lineage: Eukaryota; Viridiplantae; Streptophyta; Magnoliopsida; Malpighiales; Euphorbiaceae.
UUGUGGCAAAAGAUGUUUAUGGUUGAAGUUUAUGCCUUGUUCAUCCAAAAUGAAUGCCAUCCUCUCAAGAAGAUAAUAGUAAAGGUAAGCCAAGAUUUUUUUUUUCUUUUUUUAAUCAGUGAUUGGUUUUCUUGCUGUGUUCUGGCCUUGUAAAGAUGAGUCUAAUGGAUCCAAUUCCUGCAAACUCUAGCGCAUAACAUAUCAAAUGAAAAAAUCUGUACUGCUUCACCACUCCAGGCAGCCAUAUGACACUUUACCCG